GUGCUCGCUUCAGCAGCACAUAUAUUAAAAUUGGAAUAAUACAGAGAUUAUCAUGUCCCCAUGACACAAAAAUUCAUGAAGCAUUCCAUAUUUUU
Small nuclear RNA from Rattus norvegicus (Norway rat), 95 nucleotides. The record is from Ensembl. NCBI's taxonomy places the organism in Eukaryota, Metazoa, Chordata, Mammalia, Rodentia, Muridae.